GAACCCACAUUGAACCAAACCCCAGCCGUGCCAGAGCCAGAGCAGCUGAUAUGGGGGAAGCUUGGUGCAGGGAGGAGGACGGAUGAGAUCUGGUGUCCGUUGAUUAAAGGGGACCUAGGAUACGGGGUUGCUUAUGGAACCACAGAGAACAGUCCCGUGACAUUCGCGCACUUCCCUGAGGACACUGUGGAGCAGAAGGCAGAAAGCGUGGGCAGAAUUAUGCCUCACACGGAGGCCCGGAUCAUGAACAUGGAGGCAGGGACGCUGGCAAAGCUGAACACGCCCGGGGAGCUGUGCAUCCGAGGGUACUGCGUCAUGCUGGGCUACUGGGGUGAGCCUCAGAAGACAGAGGAAGCAGUGGAUCAGGACAAGUGGUAUUGGACAGGAGAUGUCGCCACAAUGAAUGAGCAGGGCUUCUGCAAGAUCGUGGGCCGCUCUAAGGAUAUGAUCAUCCGGGGUGGUGAGAACAUCUACCCCGCAGAGCUGGAGGACUUCUUUCACACACACCCGAAGGUGCAGGAAGUGCAGGUGGUGGGAGUGAAGGACGAUCGGAUGGGGGAAGAGAUUUGUGCCUGCAUUCGGCUGAAGGACGGGGAGG
RNAcentral lists this small RNA (598 nucleotides) under Pan troglodytes (chimpanzee). Its description in RNAcentral is "processed transcript". The record is from RNAcentral. Lineage: Eukaryota; Metazoa; Chordata; Mammalia; Primates; Hominidae.